AGGACGAACGCUGGCGGCGUGCUUAACACAUGCAAGUCGAGCGGAAAGGCCCUUCGGGGUACUCGAGCGGCGAACGGGUGAGUAACACGUGAGCAACCUGCCCCUGGCUCUGGGAUAGCCUUCGGAAACGGGGAUUAAUACCGGAUAUUCACUGCUUCCUGCAUGGGGGGUGGUGGAAAGUUUUUCGGCUGGGGUGGGGCUCGCGGCCUAUCAGCUUGUUGGGGGGUGACGGCCCACCAAGGCGACGACGGGUAGCCGGCCUGAGAGGGCGACCGGCCACACUGGGACUGAGACACGGCCCAGACUCCUACGGGAGGCAGCAGUGGGGAAUAUUGCGCAAUGGGCGGAAGCCUGACGCAGCGACGCCGCGUGCGGGAUGAAGGCCUUCGGGUUGUAAACCGCUUUCACCAGGGACGAAGCGAGAGUGACGGUACCUGGGGAAGAAGCGCCGGCUAACUACGCGCCAGUAGCCGC
This 474-nucleotide ribosomal RNA is filed under the name uncultured bacterium. RNAcentral's name for it is "SSU rRNA". It matches the Rfam family "Bacterial small subunit ribosomal RNA", at positions 26 to 518 of the family's 1533-position model. The record is from RNAcentral.